RNAcentral lists this long non-coding RNA (1001 nucleotides) under Homo sapiens (human). Its description in RNAcentral is "non-protein coding lnc-A1BG-2:11". The record is from RNAcentral. Lineage: Eukaryota; Metazoa; Chordata; Mammalia; Primates; Hominidae.
CUCUCACUCUCUACCCGCUGGGCGGUACCCCGCAUCUCGCUCUGGCCGCCCCAGAGGUUCGCGGCUUCUGGACCUGCUGUGCCCCUCUCCAGCCUGGAUCAGGACGGAGAACACCCCCGAAACCCACCUCACCAGCACAGCCGGCGGACCCUUCCGGAGGUGGCCGCAGAGACUAGCCAACUUGCGCGCCCGCCGACCCGGACCACAGCUCCCAGCACACCUCAAGGGCCCACGCCCGCCAGGACUACAAUUCCCGGCGUCCUCCGGAAGCUCAAGUGUACCCAGGCGCGGUGCCUGCUGGGAAUUGUAGUUGACGUUGGUCAGCACGGAGGCCACAGGAUCCCAGCCCGGCCUUUGUGGGACUGAGGUGGCGCUGAGUGGGAGAGCAGCAGGCGAUGCGCGAAAGGCGGGACUUGGAGAUAAAUACUGAGCACCCACAACAGGCAGCCAGCACCACUGCAGAUUGGAUACUGCAAUGAUGAUAAGCAUGGCCUGCCUUUAUGGAGAGUUCAAGGCAUGUGGUGAUCAUGCUGCCUAAGAGUAUCUUUGUUUACCUGAGGACCUUGGGCCAUGCCAAGUAUUUGUCAACAAUGUGAUUUAUGGUGAGGAUCUUAGGCCACACUGUAACAGUCUGACCACUAGAGGGGUGGGAGACUAAGUGACUAAAGUCAGUCAGGUGGGCACUCCAUGCCCACUAGAUCAUCACCUAGUAAAUGUCCUGAACACCAAGGCUUGGGUGAGCUUCCUUGGUUGAUGCUACUCUAUAUUGUCACUCAGCGCUGGGAGAAUUCAGCAGUCUCUACAACAGCUGUACCUCCUCUCUUCUGGUUGCUGCCCUACGCAUCUUUUAUCUUUGUGAUUUUAAUCUGUAUCCUUUGACUAUAAACCGUAAAUGUUAAGUAUAUCAGUUUUCUAUGUUCCUCUAGUGAAUCUUCACACCUGAGGAUCUUGGGGACCCCCGCAUAGAGGCCAGCUAGAGGCUAGAUCUCAGCCUGACAGCC